GGGCGUGUAGCUCAGUUGGUUAGAGCGCGUCACUGAUAAUGACGAGGUCCCCAGUUCGAAUCUAGGCACGCCCA
RNAcentral lists this transfer RNA (74 nucleotides) under Candidatus Moraniibacteriota bacterium. Its description in RNAcentral is "tRNA-Ile". It matches the Rfam family "tRNA". Rfam says of the family: Transfer RNA (tRNA) molecules are approximately 80 nucleotides in length. Their secondary structure includes four short double-helical elements and three loops (D, anti-codon, and T loops). The record is from RNAcentral. Lineage: Bacteria; Candidatus Moraniibacteriota.